RNAcentral lists this non-coding RNA (48 nucleotides) under Trypanosoma lewisi. Lineage: Eukaryota; Euglenozoa; Kinetoplastea; Trypanosomatida; Trypanosomatidae. The record is from RNAcentral.
GUGGUUAGAAGACGAUGUGGGUUUUUGAAUGGUAGGAGGGGUGGUGAA